Molecule: long non-coding RNA, 398 nt
Organism: Balaenoptera ricei (Rice's whale)
Lineage: Eukaryota; Metazoa; Chordata; Mammalia; Artiodactyla; Balaenopteridae
Exons: 3
Source: RefSeq, a predicted model, not a curated record
UAUGAAUCAGGAAGCGGCCUCUCAUCAGACACUGAAUCUGCUGGUGACUUGAUCUUGGACUUAGCCUCCAGAACUUAAUCACACAUGCCUGGCUGACCUUCUGGGUUACUGUGAAGACCAAAGGAGAUAACGACCGUGAAAAUGCUUUGAAAACUCUCAGGGAACACAGGUUCGAGCCCUGGUCCUGGAAGAUACCAGAUGCCUCGGAGCAACUAAGCCCGUGCGCCACAGCUACUGAGCAUGCGCACCCUAGAGCCCGUGCUCCGCAACAAGAGAAGCCACCGCAAUGAGAAGCCUGCACACCGCAACGAGAAGCCCGCGCACCGCAACGAACAGCAGCCCCCGCUCGCCGCAACUAGAGAAAGCCCGUGAGCAGCAAUGAAGACCCAACAAAGUCA